GGGGUUGUGGCUCAAUGGAAGAGUGCUUGCCUAGCAGGCAUGAGGCACUGAGUUUGAUCCUCAGCACCA
Molecule: transfer RNA, 69 nt
Filed under: Ictidomys tridecemlineatus (thirteen-lined ground squirrel)
Lineage: Eukaryota; Metazoa; Chordata; Mammalia; Rodentia; Sciuridae
Description: Spermophilus tridecemlineatus (thirteen-lined ground squirrel) tRNA
Rfam family: tRNA
About the family: Transfer RNA (tRNA) molecules are approximately 80 nucleotides in length. Their secondary structure includes four short double-helical elements and three loops (D, anti-codon, and T loops).
Source: Rfam by way of RNAcentral